This 447-nucleotide ribosomal RNA is filed under the name uncultured bacterium. Its description in RNAcentral is "bacterial SSU rRNA". It matches the Rfam family "Bacterial small subunit ribosomal RNA", at positions 339 to 796 of the family's 1533-position model. The record is from RNAcentral.
CUACGGGAGGCAGCGGUGGGGAAUAUUGCACAAUGGGCGUAAGCCUGAUGCAGCGACGCCGCGUGGGGGAUGACGGCCUUCGGGUUGUAAACUCCUUUCGUCAGGGAAGAAGCCUUUGGGUGACGGUACCUGGAGAAGAAGCACCGGCUAACUACGUGCCAGCAGCCGCGGUAAUACGUAGGGUGCGAGCGUUGUCCGGAAUUAUUGGGCGUAAAGAGCUUGUAGGCGGUUUGUCGCGUCUGCGGUGAAAACCCGGGGCUUAACCUUGGGCGUGCCGUGGGUACGGGCAGGCUAGAGUGUGGUAGGGGAGACUGGAAUUCCUGGUGUAGCGGUGAAAUGCGCAGAUAUCAGGAGGAACACCGAUGGCGAAGGCAGGUCUCUGGGCCAUUACUGACGCUGAGAAGCGAAAGCAUGGGGAGCGAACAGGAUUAGAAACCCUGGUAGUCC